AAACCUAGAUAAUGUAAUUUCAGAUAGGAUGGAGAUUCCAGGCAACCCUGCUCCUCAUCCAAACAAUUACCCUUCAGUAAUUCAACAUUUAGAUAUAGAUCAAAUGCUACCGGUGAAAAAGUUUUCAUGUUCUGAUUGCAAUUAUAUGGCUAGAUCUGCAGCAUGCUUAAAACAACACAAAAGAAUCAAGCACGAAGGAGUUAGAUAUCCUUGUGAUGAGUGUGGAUAUGCAGCAACUAUAUCUUCAGAUCUGAGAAAGCACAAACAAAGUAUUCACGAGGGAAUAAAGUAUCCUUGUGAUUUAUGUGAAUUCGCCGCCUCGACACAAAGUAAUUUAAAGCAUCACAAACAGAGUAAACACGAAGGAGUGAGAUUCUAUUGUGAUCAGUGUGAAUAUGGAGCUACUGUAAUAUCUGAUCUUAAGAAACACAAACAAAUAAAACACGAAGGAUUAAGGGUUUAUUGUGAUCAAUGUGAAUACGCUGCCACAACAUCCUCCAACCUGAAGCAACACAAACAAACCAAACACGACGGAAAGCGGUAUUACUGUGAUCAAUGUAGUUACGGCGCUACUCUUCCCUCUGAUCUGAAAAAGCACAAGCAAAGCAAGCACGAUGGUAUACGGUAUCCCUGUACCUUAUGCACAUAUUCUGCAACUACAGUCUCAAAUCUAAAUCAACAUGUGCUAAGUAAACAUAAAGGAUUAAAAUAUUUCUGCAAUAAAUGUGAGUAUUCGACCUCUGCUCAGACAAGUUUAAACGGACACAAGAAGAAAAAACAUGAAUGUAGUUUAUAACUAAGAAUUCUAAAUGUUUUCAUCAAAUGAUUAAAGGGACUGUAAAGGAAAAUGAAAGUCCCUAUAAGUGCAUUGUUCAAUGUCCUCCGUUUAAAGAAUGCCAUAUAGAAUUCCCACCUGGUUUUCGUUCUUUAUCCAAGUAUGGAUGUUGGUUAGGUUUCUAUAAAAAAGUAUUGAUUUUAGGGCAGCUUGUGUAUUUCUGUAGGGAGAUCAAAGUUAUAAUCUUGAGUUACAUGUUUAUAAAAUUCUUGAAAAUGGCACUCUUAGAAUGAAAGGUUACUGAAAAUGAUGUUGUUCAGACUCGUGUAUUAAAUAUAUAUACAAUCUAGCAAUAUUGUAUGUUAUGAAAUAGUAAAAUAAAUGGUAUUUAAUAUAUCGCUUCUUCACUUAAAAUAGUCCUCGAGUUCUUUUAUAAAAAAGAACGAAUAUGUUUAUGAUGUUCUAGGCUCAUGGCUCAAUACCAAGUUAUUGUUAUAUUCAGUAUUCCUAUAUGAAAUAAACCUCGUUUUCCAAA
Molecule: RNA transcript, 1310 nt
Organism: Eurytemora carolleeae
Lineage: Eukaryota; Metazoa; Arthropoda; Copepoda; Calanoida; Temoridae
Gene name: zinc finger protein 716
Exons: 6
Source: RefSeq, a predicted model, not a curated record